GACGAACGCUGGCGGCGUGCCUGAUACAUGCAAGUCGUGCGAGGGUCUUCGGACCCUAGCGGCGAACGGGUGAGUAACACGUGGGCAACCUGCCCUCAAGACUGGGAUAACACCGGGAAACCGGUGCUAAUACCAGAUAAUCUUCAGCCUCGCAUAGGGCUGGAGUAAAAGGAUCUUCCACUUGAGGAUGGGCCAGCGGCGCAUUAGCUUGUUGGUAGGGUAACGGCCUACCAAGGCGACGAUGCGUAGCCGACCUGAGAGGGUGAUCGGCCACACUGGGACUGAGACACGGCCCAGACUCCUACGGGAGGCAGCAGUAGGGAAUUUUCCGCAAUGGGCGAAAGCCUGACGGAGCAACGCCGCGUGAGUGAGGACGGCCUUCGGGUUGUAAAACUCUGUUCUGAAGGAAGAAGUUCUGACGGUACUUCAGGAGAAAGCCCCGGCUAACUACGUGCCAGCAGCCGCCGUAA
RNAcentral lists this ribosomal RNA (470 nucleotides) under uncultured bacterium. RNAcentral's name for it is "partial 16S ribosomal RNA". It matches the Rfam family "Bacterial small subunit ribosomal RNA", at positions 28 to 523 of the family's 1533-position model. The record is from RNAcentral.